AUCAGUAAGCGGAGGAAAAGAAACUAACAAGGAUUCCCUCAGUAGCGGCGAGCGAACAGGGAAGAGCCCAGCACCGAACCUCGCUUCAGGAUCUCCGAUCUGGGGCCGAGGAAUGUGGUGUUUGGGAGGACCAUGACCGCCUGUCCGGCUUUCGUCCAAGUCUCCAUGAACGGGGCGAGCAACCCAUAGAGGGUGUCAGGCCCGUGGUAUUGGCGAGUCGCGACCGUGGUAGAGGUCUCUCCUUGGAGUCGGGUUGCUUGAGAGUGCAGCUCUAAGCGGGAGGUAAACUCCUUCUAAGGCUAAAUACGGCCACGAGACCGAUAGCGAACAAGUACCGCGAGGGAAAGUUGAAAAGAACUUUGAAGAGAGAGUUCAAGAGUGCGUGAAACCGUUUGGAGGGUAAAACGGGUGGGCGCUCGAAGAUCGAACGAUCCUUACUCCCGCCAUCUGCACGCCAGUCUCUUGUAGAUCCUAACGUGUGCCCACGUCUUCACGGAUGUGUGUUUUGCCACGGGUCUUGCAGGAGUUCACUGGCGGCCGUGCAGGGGCCGCAAGUUUGGGAUCUAGUAGGACUCCGCAACCGUCUGGAUAGACGUCAAACGGGAACCUUCUUGAGUAUUCCACGGCUUGUCGUUCCGUUUCGGCGGUUAACUUCAAGCGGGGAGUGUUUCCUGACGUUCUAGUCCGGACGUUAUCACCUGUUCGGAGAUGUGGAAAAGAAUUUUCUUUUCCACGUCCCAACAGCGGAGAGUAGAAUAGUCGGUUCCCACCCGACCCGUCUUGAAACACGGACCAAGGAGUCUAACAUGUGCGCGAGUCUUCGGGUCAAGUUAAACCUUGCGAAGGCGAAAUGAAAGUGAAUACUGGCCGAGGUAGAUGAAAUGCUCCUCGUUUUGCCGAGGGAGGAUCCCGUCCUCCAUCGUGAGGAUCGGGCGCACUCCCGGGGCGUCGUACGUCCGCGUUGACGGUCUGACGAACCAAGAGCGCACACGUUGGGACCCGAAAGAUGGUGACCUAUGCCUGGCCAGGACGAAGCCAGGGGAAACCCUGGUGGAGGUCCGCAGCGAUUCUGACGUGCAAAUCGAUCGUCGGAGUUGGGUAUAGGGGCGAAAGACUAAUCGAACCAUCUAGUAGCUGG
This 1138-nucleotide ribosomal RNA is filed under the name Cyclestheria hislopi. RNAcentral describes it as "eukaryotic LSU rRNA". It matches the Rfam family "Eukaryotic large subunit ribosomal RNA", at positions 42 to 954 of the family's 3401-position model. Lineage: Eukaryota; Metazoa; Arthropoda; Branchiopoda; Diplostraca; Cyclestheriidae. The record is from RNAcentral.